RNAcentral lists this ribosomal RNA (496 nucleotides) under uncultured bacterium. RNAcentral describes it as "bacterial SSU rRNA". It matches the Rfam family "Bacterial small subunit ribosomal RNA", at positions 30 to 516 of the family's 1533-position model. The record is from RNAcentral.
AUUGAACGCUGGCGGCAUGCCUUACACAUGCAAGUCGAACGGCAGCACGGGAGCUUGCUCCUGGUGGCGAGUGGCGAACGGGUGAGUAAUACAUCGGAACGUACCCUGAAGUGGGGGAUAACGUAGCGAAAGUUACGCUAAUACCGCAUAUUCUGUGAGCAGGAAAGAGGGGGAUCGCAAGACCUCUUGCUUUAGGAGCGGCCGAUGUCGGAUUAGCUAGUUGGUGAGGUAAAGGCUCACCAAGGCGACGAUCCGUAGCGGGUCUGAGAGGAUGAUCCGCCACACUGGGACCGAGACACGGCCCAGACUCCUACGGGAGGCAGCAGUGGGGAAUUUUGGACAAUGGGCGCAAGCCUGAUCCAGCCAUGCCGCGUGAGUGAAGAAGGCCUUCGGAUCGUAAAACUCUGUUGGUAGAGAAGAACGUUGGUGAGAGUGGAAAGCUCAUCAAGUGACGGUAACUACCCAGAAAGGGACGGCUAACUACGUGCCAGCAGCC